CAAAGAUUAAGCCAUGCAUGUCUAAGUAUAAGUGAACUUAUACAGUGAAACUGCGGAUGGCUCAUUAAAACAGUUUGAAUUUAUUUGAUGAAUGUAUGAGAAUACUACUUGGAUAACCGUAGUAAUUCUAGAGCUAAUACAUGCAACGACGCCCGACCGUUUCACUACGGAAGGGCUGUAUUUAUUGGAUACCAAAACCAUCCUUCCCUCGGGAAGUUUUGUUUGAUGAUUCACAAUAACUGAUCGGAUCGCCACUGUGGUGGCGACAGGUCAUUCAACAUUCUGCCCUAUCAGCUUUCGAUGGUUGUGUAGUGGACAACCAUGGCCAUAACGGGUAACGGAGAAUCAGGGUUUGAUUCCGGAGAAGGAGCUUGAGAAUUGGCUACUACAUCUAAGGAAGGCAGCAGGCGCGCAAAUUACCCAAUCCCGAUUCGGGGAGGUAGUGACAAAAAAUAACAAUACCGGGCCUUUUUGGGCUUGGUAAUUGGAAUGAGGGAGAGUUAAACGGACCAUCGAGUAUCCAUUGGAGGGCAAGUCUGGUGCCAGCAGCUGCGGUAAUACCAGCUCCAAUAGCGUAUAUUAAAGUUGUUGCAGUUAAAAAGCUCGUAGUUGGACUUGUGUGCGCUGUCCGCGGGUGGCCUGUGCCCAAAAGGGCGUUUCGGUUCGGCCCCGGUGGCGCCUUGAAAUCUGCAGCUGGGGGACGUUGGCCUUAACUGGUCGGCGACCGCACGCCGGCUGCUCGGUUACUGUGAGAAAAUUAGAGUGUUCAAGGCAGGCAUUGGGUGUAAUUGAAUACAUUAGCAUGGAAUAAUAAAAUAUGGCUCCUGCCGUAUUUUGUUGGUUUUGACUGGUGGGAGUAAUGAUUGAUAGGGACGGUUGGGGGUGCUAGUAUUGAGCGGCCAGAGGUGAAAUUUAUGGAUUCGCUCAAGACUAACUUAUGUGAAAGCAUUCACCAAGGACGUCCUCUUUAAUCAAGAACGAAAGUUGGGGGAUCGAAGACGAUCAGAUACCGUCGUAGUCUCAACCAUAAAUUAUGUUGAUUUGGGAUCGGCGGUAGUUUUUUCAUUAAGACACUGUCGGGACCACGGGAGAAAUCAAAGUGUCUGGAUUCUGGGGGAAGUAUGGUCGCAAGGCUGAAACUUGAAGGAAUUGAUGGAAGGGUAUUAUUAGGAGUGGAGCCUGCGGCUUAAUUUGAUAACACGGGGAAAUUUACCAGGUCCAGAGAUGUAGAGGAUUGACAGAUUGAAGCUCUUUCUUGAUCACUUCGGUGGUGGUGUAUGGCCGUUCUUAGUUGGUGGAGUGAUUUGUCUGGUUAAUUCCGUUAACGAACGAGACCUCAGCCUGCUAGUGUAGUCGGCUGGA
Molecule: ribosomal RNA, 1362 nt
Filed under: metagenome
Description: SSU rRNA
Rfam family: Eukaryotic small subunit ribosomal RNA
Source: RNAcentral